UGGGGAAUAUUGCACAAUGGGCGAAAGCCUGAUGCAGCGACGCCGCGUGAGGGAUGACGGCCUUCGGGUUGUAAACCUCUUUCAGUAGGGACGAAGCGCAAGUGACGGUACCUGCAGAAGAAGCACCGGCUAACUACGUGCCAGCAGCCGCGGUAAUACGUAGGGUGCGAGCGUUGUCCGGAAUUACUGGGCGUAAAGAGCUCGUAGGCGGUUUGUCACGUCGUCUGUGAAAUCCUAGGGCUUAACCCUGGACGUGCAGGCGAUACGGGCUGACUUGAGUACUACAGGGGAGACUGGAAUUUCUGGUGUAGCGGUGGAAUGCACAGAUAUCAGGAAGAACACCGAUGGCGAAGGGAGGUCUCUGGGUAGUAACUGACGCUGAGGAGCGAAAGCAUGGGUAGCGAACAGG
This 409-nucleotide ribosomal RNA is filed under the name bacterium. Its description in RNAcentral is "partial 16S ribosomal RNA". It matches the Rfam family "Bacterial small subunit ribosomal RNA", at positions 355 to 776 of the family's 1533-position model. The record is from RNAcentral.